RNAcentral lists this transfer RNA (71 nucleotides) under Loxodonta africana (African savanna elephant). It matches the Rfam family "tRNA". From Rfam's summary of the family: Transfer RNA (tRNA) molecules are approximately 80 nucleotides in length. Their secondary structure includes four short double-helical elements and three loops (D, anti-codon, and T loops). The record is from Rfam by way of RNAcentral. Lineage: Eukaryota; Metazoa; Chordata; Mammalia; Proboscidea; Elephantidae.
GCAGUGGUGGUCCAGUGGUAGAAUUCUCACCUUAUGUGUGGGAGACCUGGGUUUGAUUCCUAGCCAAUGCU